This 491-nucleotide ribosomal RNA is filed under the name Dioszegia hungarica. Its description in RNAcentral is "eukaryotic LSU rRNA". The stretch from base 145 to 298 matches the Rfam family "5.8S ribosomal RNA". The record is from RNAcentral. Lineage: Eukaryota; Fungi; Basidiomycota; Tremellomycetes; Tremellales; Bulleribasidiaceae.
UCCGUAGGUGAACCUGCGGAAGGAUCAUUAAUAAAUGGCGAAGCUUUCGAGCCUAGCUUUUAUCAUCCUAUACACCUGUGAACUAUUUGCCUUCGGGCACCAAACAAACAUAAUGUAAUGAAUGUAAUCUACUAUAAUAAAUACAACUUUCAACAACGGAUCUCUUGGCUCUCACAUCGAUGAAGAACGCAGCGAAAUGCGAUAAGUAAUGUGAAUUGCAGAAUUCAGUGAAUCAUCGAAUCUUUGAACGCAAAUUGCGCCCUUUGGUAUUCCGAAGGGCAUGCCUGUUUGAGUGUCUUAUAAACCUCACCCCUAAUGUUUUAUCACAAUAGGUUGGUGCUUUGGGUGUUGCCAUUUACCUGGCUCGCCUUAAAUGACUAAGUGGAAUGCGUAAUAAGUUCUCGCAACCCUCCACUCUAAUACAAUUUAUAUUCUGACCUCAAAUCAGGUAGGACUACCCGCUGAACUUAAGCAUAUCAAUAAGCGGAGGA